Schistosoma rodhaini is the source of this 45-nucleotide non-coding RNA. Lineage: Eukaryota; Metazoa; Platyhelminthes; Trematoda; Strigeidida; Schistosomatidae. The record is from Rfam.
AUCCAGCUGACGAUUCUUAAAUAGGAUGAAACGCGCAUCAUGGAU